RNAcentral lists this long non-coding RNA (275 nucleotides) under Elaeis guineensis (African oil palm). Its description in RNAcentral is "long non-coding RNA (EGUI_LNC053869)". Lineage: Eukaryota; Viridiplantae; Streptophyta; Magnoliopsida; Arecales; Arecaceae. The record is from RNAcentral.
GACCCAGAUUUCGAAUCAAAUUUCGAUCCAGAUCUAAACAUGGAUCAUUUUAUACAAAAUAACAUACAUUAAAAAAGACAGAUUGAAUAGUAAUACAGAAAAUCUCUUUCCAUCAAUUUAAUUAAGUAAAAAUAUAUGAUCCUAUCCAUUUCAAAUCAUUACUAACAGGUAUAGCUCUAUCCCUUUAAAAAAAAUCAUAAUCUUAUUAUUAUUAUUAGUCAAUAUUUUAUUUUAUUAUUAUAAAAAUUUUGACAGUAUCUCCCCAUGGUUCUCCA